This is a long non-coding RNA of Lepidothrix coronata (blue-crowned manakin), 1164 nucleotides long. RefSeq lists it as uncharacterized. The record is from RefSeq and is a predicted model, not a curated record. NCBI's taxonomy places the organism in Eukaryota, Metazoa, Chordata, Aves, Passeriformes, Pipridae. The transcript has 4 exons.
CAGCGCCGGGUGGCGGCCGCUCGGCCACGAGCUGCCCCUCGGCCGGGCCCGGGGGUGCCUUCGCCAGGCUCUGGGAGCCACUUCGGACUUGGAGGCUCCAGGCUUGGAGAAGGCCACGGCUCGGCUGCGAUGGGGAGCGAAGUCUCUGGCGGGGAAUGGUACCUGGGGGGCGGCUCCGCAGAGCCCCGCGCCCACUGAGGGAACGUGCUCGGGCCCCUCCGAGGCUUCCACAGCUAAGAGGAGCCACCAGUGUUGUGAGAAACAGAAAAUGGAGUUGUUGUCUGAAUUCCGUUAUCUUCUCAAGAAGAUACACUUAUUUAGAAAUAGUGACUCAAAGGGCAGCUGGAAAAGAAGGCAAGCAAUUCUGGCUUGAAGGAGUUCAGUCUAGCUAACUGAGUGGGAAGAACAAUGCUGAAGGAGGAAUUUUUUCCUAAGGAGAACUGAUCUUUGAACCUUAAGUAAGACUAAAUACAACUUUGAAGUAAAACCACAUAGACCUAUGAAACUUAAGGCCAGAGGUUUCAUUAGCUUAUAUUGUUCCAACUUCAACCAAGAUCAUUGCCUUUUAUUCUCACUCUUGCGUGUAAUCCAUUAAUACACUGCCACUGCAGACCCCAGCAGCCAAGGAGAUGUUCUGGACCCCGGAUCAGAUUAUUUUCUGAUUCUCUUCAUCCUCAGGUUGUUUUCUGUUCUUCAGCUGUGAUGACUUCAUCAUAGUCACUCAGAUGCUUCUACGUACUACAUAUGGGAGAAGCAACAUUUGCCCGUAAUUUGUUUAGAACUGUGUUAGAAAAAAGGGUUGUACUUACCCAAAGAAUAAAAGGAACAGGGGUAGUUCUGUUGUGAAUCAGUUAGCUUUGUCAUGUAAUAAUUACUGUAUUGUAACCUUAUAAUAAACUUUAGCCAUAGCAUUUGAUAAACAAAACUUGUAAAUUAUAUGCAUUCUAAAAUCUUUGGAAAAUGUGUUUAAGAAGAAUGAUGGUUCUAACCACUGGGAAAAAAAAAUCAAGUGAUCCAUACCAGCUGCACAUUUUUGCUGAGCCACUGAAGAGUCUCCCUGCAUGAAUCUUUGGUAGAGGCAGGAUUUUUAUCAUGUGUCAGUAUAUAAAUUCAAUAGAAUGAACAGCAUCUUUUUCUUUUUCUUUAGUAAAAUAUUUGACUAAU